Molecule: long non-coding RNA, 731 nt
Organism: Adelges cooleyi (spruce gall adelgid)
Lineage: Eukaryota; Metazoa; Arthropoda; Insecta; Hemiptera; Adelgidae
Exons: 5
Source: RefSeq, a predicted model, not a curated record
CAUAGUUGACAGUCUUACAGUGUAUCAAUUUUGCAUGUACAUGUACAUGGGUGUCGGUGAACCCACAAAAGAUUUUGGUAUCGUGCAACUAUACUUACAGAAUCACGCUGACAUAUCAACGGAAAAACCAAAUUUCAUAAAUUUAGAAGUAUCGAUAUACAACUUUUUAAAAACCAUUGUAAGGAAUAUGGGUUACCCCUUCCACAAUGUGCUGAACAAAGAAAAGGCGCAAAGCUUCACGCGAACGAAGCUUCAUGUUCAGCUGAUAAAGUAAUUCAUACUAUUGUUUUAAACCUAUCAGAGUAUUAGCUUAAAGACUUACAAAUAAAUGAGAGAACUAACGAUCAGAUUAUAAAAGAUGCGUUUAAUGAUUGUAUGCAAUGGCUCAGGAAAUACUACCAUUCCUCAUCUACGAGUAAUACUAUGUCAGAGUAUAACUUCUACAUGUACAUGGGUGGAGAUGAAGUUCCAAGAAACUAUGAAAUCGUGUAUGGGUACUUACUAAAAGACCACUUGAUUAAAAAAAGCACGACCAAAGAAUGUUGGAUAGAUUCAAAAUCAUUUGGUGAACUCUUUACACACGUUUGCGGCGAAUAUCAGAUAUCCAUCGAAGAAUGUGCUAGAAGAAGGAAAGAAGAAACACAAGUACAGAUAGUAAUACAUAAUUUGUUACGGUCUCGUCGUAGACUGCCUUAUAAUGACAGAUAAAAAACAUUUAUCGAGAUAUUGUA